Molecule: transfer RNA, 69 nt
Filed under: Actinomycetota bacterium
Lineage: Bacteria; Bacillati; Actinomycetota
Description: tRNA-Val
Source: RNAcentral
ACUGAGGCUGGUAGCAACGGACCUCGCUUCACACGCGAGAGGUCGCUGGUUCGAAACCAGCCGCGCCCA